AGAGAGAGACAUGCGUGCAUAUCAAUAAGCGGAGGAAAAGAAACUAACAAGGAUUCCCUAGUAACGGCGAGUGAAGCGGGAAGAGCUCAAAUUUGAAAUCCUAAAGGUUUUCCCUUGACGAAUUGUAGUUUAAAGAAGUGUUUUCUGUUGAAGGUUUCGGUAAAAGUUCUUUGGAAUAGGACAUCAUAGAGGGUGAGAAUCCCGUAUUUGACCGUUACUUUCAGCUGUGUGAUACACUUUCAAAGAGUCGGAUUGUUUGGGAAUGCAGUCCAAAAUGGGUGGUAAAUUUCAUCUAAAGCUAAAUAUUGGCGAGAGACCGAUAGCGAGCAAGUACCGUGAGGGAAAGAUGAAAAGAACUUUGAAAAGAGAGUUAAACAGUACGUGAAAUUGUCAAAAGGGAAGCGUUUGACACCAGUGUUGUUUUUCUGAAAAUCAAUUAAAGAACUGUUUAUGCUAAGUUGUUUAGACUUUAUCAGCUAACUGUUUAGUUUUGAGCUUUUCUUUAAUGCACUUUUCAGCUAACAAGUCAACAUCAAUUUCUUUUGCUGUAAAAAAGCUUGAGGAAGGUGGCUUGAGAUUCGUCUUAAGUGUUUAUAGCCUCUUGCCUAUGCAGUCGGAGAGAUUGAGGUCUGCAGCGUAGAUCCUUCGGGGCUAAAUGCAUUUGUGCUAAGUUAUAGCAUUUUAUAGACAACUUGUUGACUAUGAUUUGUCUUGUAGCUUACUCGCUUAUGUUAUUUUACCUACGCUUAGGAUGUUGAGCGCAUGUCUCUCUCU
Molecule: ribosomal RNA, 774 nt
Filed under: uncultured Neocallimastigales
Lineage: Eukaryota; Fungi; Neocallimastigomycota; Neocallimastigomycetes; Neocallimastigales
Description: partial large subunit ribosomal RNA
Rfam family: Eukaryotic large subunit ribosomal RNA
Source: RNAcentral